CAAGUGCAAGUGCAUCUCGUACCAUCAUGUUUGAUCCUGAUAAAAUAAUACAGUGUCAACUGUGUCACAACUGUGUCUCGUCAGUUGUCUCGUCAGUUUGUGGAAAAGAGAAAUGCAUCGAAGACCACGCGUGAAAUAAUCUACGCACAAACAUAAACCCGGCUGGACCACCGACAAUGUGUGUACGCGGAACAAUGUGUUCGACGGAUGCCACUACCGCCACCAACGCAGACCUCACACACAGCCAACGCUGCA
Long non-coding RNA from Anopheles cruzii, 255 nucleotides. RefSeq lists it as uncharacterized. Lineage: Eukaryota; Metazoa; Arthropoda; Insecta; Diptera; Culicidae. The record is from RefSeq and is a predicted model, not a curated record. The transcript is spliced from 3 exons.